Molecule: ribosomal RNA, 523 nt
Filed under: Yarrowia sp.
Lineage: Eukaryota; Fungi; Ascomycota; Dipodascomycetes; Dipodascales
Description: LSU rRNA
Rfam family: Eukaryotic large subunit ribosomal RNA
Source: RNAcentral
AGUACUGUGAAGGAAAGGUGAAAAGAACUUUGAAAAGAGAGUGAAAUAGUAUGUGAAAUUGUUGAUAGGGAAGGAAAUGAGUGGAGAGUGGACGAGGUUUCAGUGCCCCCUCGGGGGUACGUACUGCCAACUCCGAGUCAACGUCAGCGAGACGGGGUGUAUAAACGGGUGUCUUCGGACUCUCACCUACUCCCCCCCACUGCCGUCGUCGACAUAAUCCACCCAUUUCACCCGUCUUGAAACACGGACCAAGGAGUCUAAUGGAUAUGUGAGUGUUAGGGUGGCAAACCCCAGCGCGCAAUGAAAGUGAAUGAUUCGUUCAGAAUCGACCGAACUUGAUUUUUAUGACAGUUUUGAGUAAACACAUCCAUUGGGACCCGAAAGAUGGUGAACUAUGCCUGAAUAGGGUGAAGUCAGAGGAGACUCUGAUGGAGGCUCGUAGCGGUUCUGACGUGCAAAUCGAUCGUAGAAUUUGGGUAUAGGGGCGAAAGACUAAUCGAACCAUCUAGUAGCUGGUUCCUGC